UUCUAGCCCCGAUAGCAGCGGCAUCCUUUUACUUUUUUCUUUAAAAAGUAAAAGAUAUAGCGAAUAGCGGGAAAAAGC
RNAcentral lists this small RNA (78 nucleotides) under Flavobacterium gillisiae. Its description in RNAcentral is "Flavo-1 RNA". It matches the Rfam family "Flavo-1 RNA". Lineage: Bacteria; Pseudomonadati; Bacteroidota; Flavobacteriia; Flavobacteriales; Flavobacteriaceae. The record is from RNAcentral.